GACGGGGACCCGCACAAGCGGUGGAGCAUGUGGUUUAAUUCGAAGCAACGCGAAGAACCUUACCAAAUCUUGACAUCCUCUGACCCCUCUAGAGAUAGAGUUUUCCCCUUCGGGGGACAGAGUGACAGGUGGUGCAUGGUUGUCGUCAGCUCGUGUCGUGAGAUGUUGGGUUAAGUCCCGCAACGAGCGCAACCCUUAAGCUUAGUUGCCAUCAUUAAGUUGGGCACUCUAAGUUGACUGCCGGUGACAAACCGGAGGAAGGUGGGGAUGACGUCAAAUCAUCAUGCCCCUUAUGAUUUGGGCUACACACGUGCUACAAUGGACAAUACAAAGGGUGGCGAAACCGCGAGGUCAAG
This 356-nucleotide ribosomal RNA is filed under the name Staphylococcus sp. HMSC62A08. RNAcentral's name for it is "bacterial SSU rRNA". It matches the Rfam family "Bacterial small subunit ribosomal RNA", at positions 912 to 1267 of the family's 1533-position model. Lineage: Bacteria; Bacillati; Bacillota; Bacilli; Caryophanales; Staphylococcaceae. The record is from RNAcentral.